GUUGGUAUUUGGGGGUAUCUCACUAAGCUUUCGGGCUUACAGUUGUGGUUUUAUGUUUUCAGGUUCUCAGGAGACUGUGGCAAGGCAAAGGUGUGAUCGUACCGUUCCUCGCGUUGGUGUUUUAUGAAAUGGACCUGGGAAAUACUCUGUUAAAUAAUGUAUUGAAAACCUUUUUAUAAAGAUUUAAUGAAAUCGUGGUGUUUCUUUGAAAAUUUAAAAUUGGUUGUAUUUUUCGGUUGUUACAAGUUGGUAUCAGAGCCUUGGUUUGAGUGAAUUGGAGGAACACUCAUGUGACUCCGGUCUCAAAUCGAGGAGGGUUUUAAAAAGAGAAAUUAAAAUGGUUUUCAAAUUAAGUAAAAGGAGGACGCGGAGGUACGAUCAGCUGGAGCCAGUAAGUAACCCCAAAUAUGGGUAGGUGUGGAAGGUAGUAUGGGCCCGUACUACUGAAAGCACAGGACCCAUACGCGUAUCAGGGAAACCAUGACCUCUAGGGUUGGGUUGAGAGUUGGUUCCCGGGAUAGUGGGAAGUGCCUGAGGUUUUGUGGUUAUUACAGUAUGGUGAUUUCGAGGCAUUAUGGGAUUGGAUCCAGGUCAGGAUCGGGUGCAGGAGAAGGAGUUGCGGACGGGUCAGUACCGCCCGAGGUUAUCGGUCAGAUGAGCACGAGUGAGUUGGAUGCGAGGAUUCGUGAGAUCCUGCGUGAGGAGAUUGCUGAGUUGUUCCGGGCUGAGUGCCAUAACUGUUUGGGUCAAUUAAGACCACCAUGGUUGAGUAUUUUGAUGAGCGUUAUGUAGCUCUCACUGAGACGGCUGCCGCUGCGGCUACAACGGCUGGGGGAGGGGGGGGGGNUAGUCGGGGUUUUCAGUAUCGGGACUUCGAUAAUAUGAAGCCUCCCACCUUUGAUGGAGUUCAGGACCCGAUUGUUGCUAUGAGAUGGUUAUCGGACGUGGAGGGGUGUUUCUUCACGUGUUCAUGCCCUGCUAAUCAGAGGGUGAGGUGUGCUCUAAACCUUUUGAGGCAGGGCAAAGGAUUGGUGGAGAUUGAUCAUGGGGUCGUAUUCGGAUGCGCAGAGGGCUGCGGUUUCAUGGGAUCAGUUCAGAGAGAUGUUCAGCGCUCGUUAUGUUCCGCGGGUUGAGAGAGAAAGAUUGGCUCAGGGGUUCCUCGAGCUAAAGCAGGGUUCGGAGUCGGUGACGGAGAUCACCAGAAUGUUCACUCGGAGGGCGAUGUUUUGCCCAGAGUUUGCUUCGGAGCAGGCUCAGAUGUCUCGAUAUCUGAGCAUGCUCAAGAGGGACAUCAGACAGUUGUGUCUGCGCAGAGGUGCAAGACCUUUUUGGAGUUGCAGGAGGCCGCUAGGAUUGAGUUGCAGUUGCGUGAGCUGAGGCAGGCUCCGGUGCAGUCGCAGCCGGCGCCGAAACGGUCCAAGACCGUUGAUGUUAGAGUGGGGGAUCUGAGCAGCCACACUUGUGGGAAGUGUGGGAAGGGUCACACCGGGGUUUGUUGGUCCGGUGGUACAUGCCGCAAGUGCAGAAAGGAGGAGCACUAUGCAAGGGAUUGUCGGCAGUCAGCGCCAGUUCGGGAUUUGAGGAUUUGCUAUCAUUGUCAUCAGGUUGGGCAUUUGAGGGUCAACUGUCCACAGCUUGCUGCAGGACCGGUGCAGGCUCCAACACCGGCCACUUUGAGGAUCACCGGUGGAGGGCAGGGGGGGNCUCAGGGUCGUGCUUAUCAGCUUGCGGCAGAGGAGGUCAGAGCAGUGCCGGAUGCAGCUGCGGGUAUGUUUCUUUUGUUAUCUUGUGAUAUUGUGGUGUAUUGUUUAUGAGCUGGUAUUUUGUUGGUUUUCGAUGUGGUAUUCGUCAUUUUGCGGGUGGUGGUUUUGGUUAUGGGUUAUUGUUUUGGGAAUUCCGUUGAUUAUCAUUCAUGAGGGUUAUUAGUGGAAACUUGGCAUUGGGUUGCAGGCUGGGUAGCAUCUGCUUUCUGAGGAGUGGUUCGAUACAGAUUGAGUUUCUUUCGAGCAAGUUGAUCAGUGUGGGAAUGUGAUUUCUAUGAAGGUUGCUUGAGCUAGUAGGAAUCAGCCCGCGUAUAAGUGUUGGUUUUGUGCAGAGUUGUUUUGGGAGGUCGGUGAUGGCGACCGAUGGUUGAUAGUCAGUACCCUAAGUGGGGGAGAAUUGGAAAAUUCUCCGGAAGAUCGUUAAGCAUGUGAGGUUGCUUAGCUGUUUGGGAUUCAGCAGUGUUCUGUCAGCCCAGAGUGUAGGCUGGUAUGAGUAAGUGUCGGGCAUGCGGGGCGGGAUACAGACCUAGAGCAUUUGAUUGUGGAAGGCCUGGGAUCGGGCCGGGAACGAGUAUGUAUGAUGGUGAUAGAGUUCGGAACCCCUAGAGGGCUAGAACAGUUUGCAUGGGAGGAUUUCUUAGAGAUGUAGCUCGGAAUGAUGGAUGUUAGUUGAGCAGUCCGGAUAGGCUGAAGGUUCUGAGAGUGGUCCAAAUGGACUGAAGGCCUGGUGAGGCGGUCCGGUCAUGCUGAAGACUCUGCAGGUAUUGUUGGAUCAGUUUGAGAUUAUGGAUCGGGUACGUCGCGAUGUGUUAGCACUAGAAGGUCUGGCCCCGGGGAUUGAUCUUGAUUAGUAGAGAUGGUGCAUGGACUCGAGAGUCCUUGCGAGCAGAUUCAGGGCAUAUGUGUUGCAUGGAUAGUAGUUAUGCUAUAAGGGGUGGUGCAGCGUUGGGUGAGCACCGUGGCACUUGUCGUGGUGACAAGGCAGCCAAGUGGAUCUCCUUGGUGAGGAGAGAGAGAGGAGUGUAGCUCCAAGAGGAAGAGUAAAUUCACGGAAGUGAAAGCGGCAGCGUGGAGUUAUGAUCGGAGUGGUUCGACGGUGGUCAUUGAGCAGCAUGAUUGCGAUGAUGGAAUGGAAUGACAUCAUGAUGGGAUGUCUGCUGAGGACGCGGGAGGAAUUCCGCAGAUGUAGAGCCAAAAGACUCGGAAGGGGAUGUAGGGAGAGAGUCUUGGGCUCUCAGUGUGAUUCUGAUCAGGGUAUUGGUUAUGUAUUAGUGGUUCAUGGCUUUCUAGCCCUUAUGGGUCGAGUGAUUGUUGGGAUUUGGGGCAGUGAUGCUUCAUUGGUAAUUCUCGGUUAUUGAGCGUGAUUAUCAGAGGGUACAGUCGGUGCCCGGCUUGAGGCGGUGGUCAAAACACCGCAAGAAAGGAGGAAGUGAGUUUCGGGUGUCGAUGGUUGUACCUUGAGGGACCUGGUUUGGUUAGUGCCAGCUAGUGCAUUGCAGGGGAAGUUCUGAUUUAGAGUUGCUACAGGCUUCGAGGACGAAGCCUAAUUUAAGUGGGGGAGAAUUGUAACACCCCGUUCUUCGAGUGUUCAAUUAUAAGUCCCUGAGAUUUAAGAGGAAGGGUAAUUCUGGUCCCUUUCGAGAAAUGAGCUUCAUCCGAGAAGGUUUCGGACGGGUUUAUGUGCUAGUGGUAUUGGGCUUCUCGUUGCCCUCGCAUGAAUGUGAAGUUAUUUGGGAGCGGGUUUAGAUUAGAGGAGUUGAGGUGUUUUGAAGUUGAACGUUGUUCAUAGCCCUUUUGUGUAAUGAGAAGGAGAUGGUCCCAUGCAUGCAUGGCAUGCAUGCAUGAUUCUGGUUUUGAAAGGUGGCUGGGUACGCCCAGCGUAAGCUAGACGUACGCACAGCGUAAGUGUAUGUGUAAUACGCGUUGGCCGGGUGAGUACGCCCCGCGUACCAGGGAGGUACGCCCAGCGUACUCUCAGGAACCCAAACCCUACUUUUAGGGUCAGCCGCUAUAUAAAGAACAUGUUGGUUCAUCCCUCAGCCUCCUUAUACUCAUCUUCAACCUCAGAGAACCCUAAAACUCGUAUUCCCUCCAUAGUUGAGGGUGAUUGACCUUUGGAAGCUCUUGUUGGCAAAAGAAAAGCUUGAAGGAGAAAAGGGAAGUUGUCAAGGUAGAAGAAGAACGUGUGGAGCUUGUAGAUCUGAAGUAAUAACACCCUUUUGGAGUUGGUUUAAGGUAUAAAGCUUCUUGCUUGACCUUCAUAUUGCAUAGAUCUUUGUAUUUUGAAGCUUUGUUAUCAUUCUUGUCCCAAAAGUCCUUAGCUUGUUGCAUAGUUCGAUUUAGCCAAGAUUAUCUGUCCUUUUAGACCUUUGGAGAGGUCUUGACUGAUAAAGAUGAGGUCCCAGGGGUUGUAGUUGUUUCUUGUAUGAGUUAUGUAGGUCUUAAUGGAUUAAGACCUUGGAUUUAGAGCUUAAAGGACGUCCCAAGUGAUAAAGUUUGAGACUUUAUGAUUCCUGAUCAUAUUUGGCCUAUGGAUCUGGAAUUUGGGCUUAAGAGCUUAAGCCAUUAAGAUGUUAAAGGACUUAAUAGAUCUCGCAGUUACGCCCCGCAUAACCUUAAGUACGCCCCGCGUAGAGGGCCGAUAUCCCGUUUUCAGUUUGAUGAUCUCUGCAGUACGCCCCGCGUACCAAGGAGAGUACGCCCCGCGUACUCCUCCUGUGGACGUCCUUUUGGGCUUUUGUGUUGGGCCAUUUGGGGGUUGUUGGUGUUUGGGCCAAGUCUGGAAAGUAUGAAUAGAGUAUUUUGGGCCCAAUUAAUAUUAUGGAUAUUGGAUCUAGGCCCAUUUGGUGAGGUGGGCCCAAUUUGGUAAAUUGGGCCAAUGUGGGAUUUUGUGUGAGAUUGGGACUUUGGUCUUGGCCCGAUAAGUGAAAGUAUGAUUGACCCUAUGUUUAUUUUGUGAUGAUGGUUAGUUCGGGAUUUGCGGGAGUUGGUGAUUCGAGAGUCUGCUUCUUCGGUUCAGAGUGUCGGCAAUCGCGAGGUGAGUUAUCCUCACUAUAUCAACGGGGUUUAAGGCACCAAGGCCGACCCUUUAUUGGAUGGAAAUCCGGGUAGUUGUCUGUUGUUAUGAUAUUGCGUGUUAUGGGCUGGAAGGCAUUAUGUUAUGGGCCGGAAGGCAUUAUAUGUUGUGGGCCGGAAGGCAUUAUGAUUUGGGCCGGAAGGCAUUAUAUAUUAUGUGGACCGGAAGGUCGUGGCCUGGAAAGGCGUAUGUGCGUAAGUAGUAUUUUGGCUGAGACGUAGGGUGAUGUUAUGUUCGUGAUCGGUUAGCUCGGAAUCCUGGUUAGGGUGAUGAUAUGUUAUGUGAUCUGUUUGAUCGAUUUGUUGACUGUGAACUGUUAUGAUUGAAUGUUAUGUACGCACGGUUGUUUGGACUAGGGUUUGACCCAAUAUGCAUGGCUAUUCUAUGUUCUGUUAUGAUAUGUAUGUUGUUUAUGUUAUGGGCUGGAAGGCAAUAGGUUAUGGGCCGAAAGGCAAUAUGUUAUGGGCCGGAAGGCAUUAUGUUUUGGACCAGAAGGUCGUGGCCUGGAAGGGCGUAUAUGUGGUUGGUAUUUGGGGGUAUCUCACUAAGCUUUCGGGCUUACAGUUGUGGUUUUAUGUUUUCAGGUUCUCAGGAGACUGUGGCAAGGCAAAGGUGUGAUCGUACCGUUCCUCGCGUUGGUGUUUUAUGAAAUGGACCUGGGAAAUACUCUGUUAAAUAAUGUAUUGAAAACCUUUUUGUAAAGAUUUAAUGAAAUCGAGGUGUUUUUUUGAAAAUUUAAAAUUGGUUGUAUUUUU
This 5594-nucleotide long non-coding RNA is filed under the name Lactuca sativa (garden lettuce). Its description in RNAcentral is "long non-coding RNA (LSAT_LNC008826)". The record is from RNAcentral. Lineage: Eukaryota; Viridiplantae; Streptophyta; Magnoliopsida; Asterales; Asteraceae.